AGGAGAAGAAAGAGAGAAAAGAAGGAGAGAGACAGAGAGAGAGAGAAGGUGGUUCUUCUUCCUUAACAAUUUCCCCAAACAUUUUCUCUCUAAAGAGACCCACCUCUUUCCCUCUGUUCUCAAAUCGUUGAAAUUUCAAUUUCUUCUCUCUCUCUACGCUAUCAGAUCUCCUCUAAUUCUAGGGUUUUACCGUUACUUGGAUCGCUUUCGCCUUUACUCAGAACAAGUCUUCGCUCUUUUCCUUCUUUUAGAUCCUUGGAUCUUGGAAAUUUUGUUUAUUUCAAUUGAAAUGGAGGCGAUCGAAGAGUUGGGGCAGCUUUCAGAGUCCAUGAGGCAAGCGGCGGCUUUGCUUACCGACGAAGAUGUUGAUGAGAACCCCAGCUCCACUUCUAGACGGAGUUCUACUUUUCUUAAUGUUGUUGCUCUUGGGAAUGUUGGUGCUGGUAAAUCUGCAGUUCUAAACAGCUUAAUUGGACACCCUGUUCUGCCAACUGGUGAAAAUGGUGCUACUCGUGCUCCUAUAAGCAUUGAUUUACAGAAUGAUGGCUCUUUGAGCAGCAAAUCAAUUUUUUUGCAAAUUGACAAUAAAUCCCAGCAAGUUUCUGCAAGUGCAUUACGGCAUUCUUUACAGGAAAGGCUCAGUAAGGGAGCCUCAGGCAACAGCCGGGAUGAAAUAUAUUUGAGACUACGGACAAGUACAGCACCUCCUCUGAAAUUGAUAGACUUACCUGGCCUAGAUCAACGCAUCAUGGAUGAAUCUGUGGUUAGUGACUAUGCGGAGCACAAUGAUGCCAUCUUGUUAGUUAUCAUUCCUGCUGCCCAAGCAUCAGAAGUAGCUUCUUCUCGAGCUCUUAGGGUUGCCAAGGAAUAUGAUGGAGAAGGUACUAGAACUGUUGGUGUAAUUAGUAAAAUAGAUCAAGCUGCUUCAGACCAGAAAGCUCUUGCAGCUGUUCAGGCUCUCCUGUUGAAUCAGGGUCCUGCAAAAACUGCUGAUAUUCCCUGGGUUGCUUUGAUUGGUCAGUCAGUUUCAAUAGCUUCUGCACAGUCUGGAUCUGAGAGCUCAUUGGAAACUGCAUGGAAAGCAGAGAGUGAAAGUCUUAAAUCGAUACUGACUGGAGCCCCUCAAAGUAAGCUAGGCAGAAUAGCUUUGGUGGAUGUUCUGGCACAUCAGAUUCGCAAGCGUAUGAAAAUUCGGCUCCCGAACCUCCUUUCUGGGUUACAAGGGAAGUCUCAAAUAGUUCAGGAUGAAUUAGUAAGGCUUGGGGAGCAGAUGGUUGAAACUGCUGAGGGCACAAGAGCUAUUGCAUUGGAACUUUGCCGUGAAUUUGAGGAUAAAUUUCUCCAACACAUUACAACUGGUGAGGGUGCUGGUUGGAAAGUUGUUGCAAGUUUUGAGGGAAAUUUCCCUAAUAGGAUCAAGCAGCUUCCCUUGGACCGACAUUUUGAUAUCAAUAAUGUCAAGAGGAUUGUAUUAGAGGCCGAUGGUUAUCAACCAUAUCUCAUAUCUCCAGAAAAGGGUUUGAGAUCUUUAAUAAAGGGAGUUCUCGAGCUUGCAAAAGAGCCAUCACGUCUUUGUGUUGAUGAGGUACACCGUGUCCUGGUAGAAAUAGUUUCUGCUUCUGCAAAUGCUACACCUGGACUAGGAAGAUACCCUCCUUUCAAGAGAGAGGUUGUAGCUAUUGCUACUACUGCUCUGGAGGGAUUCAAGAAUGAAGCAAAAAAGAUGGUUGUUGCACUAGUGGAUAUGGAGCGGGCAUUUGUGCCUCCCCAGCAUUUCAUCCGUUUGGUGCAAAGGAGGAUGGAAAGACAGCGCCGAGAGGAGGAACUUAAGAACCGAUCUUCUAAAAAAGGACAUGAAGCUGAGCAAGCAAUACUAAAUAGGGCAACUAGUCCUCAAACAGGAGCCCAGCAGUCUGGAGGAAGCUUGAAAUCAAUGAAGGAAAAAUCUGAUAAAGAUUCACAAGAGGGACCAGGCUUGAAAACAGCUGGGCCAGGUGGUGAGAUAACAGCAGGAUUUUUAUUGAAGAAAAGUGGAAAAACAAAUGGUUGGAGUAGGCGGUGGUUUGUAUUGAAUGAAAAAAGUGGCAAGGUUUGUUAGCAUAUAGGUUUUUGGCUAACUUGAAGUGAAAGUACAUGAUUGUUUAUCUUUUCUGGUCUAUUACUGUUGAUGAUUCUUUGCUAAUGUGGAAUCCACCUUUACUUUCCUGGCUCUUGCGAUGUUAUAAUUUACAACAUCACACAUUCACGGCAUUUUUUCUGAUGUAGGAUUACUAUGGAGUGUUUCACUUAAAUUUAAUAUGGUGCCUAAAUAUUUGAAAAUGGAAAAGCAAAUAUGACAUCUCUGAUUCAGAAAUCUUAUCAUUUGAACAUUAUGAAUGUUGAAAGUUGCAUUUUAUUGCCUUUUUUAAAAUUGUGACCUAUCUGAAAAAGGGGUCUGAAAUUAGAAGGAAAAGUUUAUUGCCCUCUUAUUAGGUCUCUGAAUAUGCUUGUUUACAUAACUGCCAUUGUUUCACUCAAACCUGUUUCUUGAUUGGCAUAUCUUAUAAUAUUUUAAAUUGUGUUGCAGCUUGGUUACACCAAAAAGCAGGAAGAAAGACAUUUCCGUGGUGUCAUUACUUUGGACGUAAGAAUCUCAAUGACAAAAUAAAGAAAUAAAUAACUACCCUUCGAUUGCAAUAAGUUAAUGUGAAACUUGGAUUACUUGUCAGUUGGUUACUUUAGCAUUCUUAGAUUUUUGGUUAAAAGUGGCAAGGACUGACAAACGUCCUCUCCAUGACAUUGUAAUGGGUUUUUAAAACUUGGUACAUGAUAUCAACAGAUAUGGUGUAGAUUCAUACAUAUGAUAAAUUAUUUUUAAUUUUGAAUUGAUUUAUAUUUGUUAGAAUUUAGAAGUUGCUUUUUAAAUUUUGAAGUGCCUUGAUUUAACUCCUGUUGGUUAUAGGAUUUUUUGGUACAUGUUUAGAACUGACCUUUUUUUCUGGUGAUCUAAAUGCAUGUUUGAUAAUGAGUUAUUACAUUACUCCUGCCCUAUUGUUUUCUACAGUUACUGAGUUCAAACUGCUCAUAUUGUAAUUGUCUGCAUGCUAAUCUUUGGAUGAACUAUCAGGAAUGCAAUAUUGAGGAAGUUUCUGAUGAAGAAGAAACCUCAUCAAAAAGUUCUAAGGAUAAAAAGGCAAAUGGACCAAGUUCUGAAAAAGGAGCCAAUCUUGUUUUUAAGAUAACUAGUAGAGUUCCAUAUAAGACUGUCUUGAAAGCGCACAGUGCUGUUGUGUUAAAAGCUGAGAGUGUUGCUGACAAGGUUGAAUGGAUAAACAAGUUGAGAAAUGUCAUUCAGACUAAAGGAGGUCAAGUUAUAGGCGAACCUGGUCUUGCCAUGCGUCAAAGUCAUUCUGAUGGUUCACUUGAUACAAUGACUAGAAGACCUGCAGACCCUGAAGAAGAGCUCCGGUGGAUGUCUCAAGAAGUGCGUGGUUAUGUUGAAGCAGUCUUGAAUAGCUUGGCUGCUAAUGUUCCUAAAGUAAGCUUGCUACUUAAAUUUGUCGUUCUUAUCAUUAUAUUUGGGCUCAUAUGAAAACCUAUGUUAACACAUUAUAAUUGGUUAUGCAGGCAGUUGUUCUUUGCCAAGUUGAGAAGGCCAAGGAAGAUAUGCUAAACCAGUUGUAUAGCUCAAUUAGGUUUGAUGCAUUAUCUUUUUGUUGCAACAUAUUUUUGUAUUACCAGAAGUUUGUUACAUUGCUUUUUGUUGGCUCCAUUCAUGGUUCUCCUUGUUGGCUUCUCCUUCAUGUGAAUUUUUCUUUAUAAUGUUGCAGUUCUCAUAGUCUUCUGCAUAUUCUGUGUGAUUAUUAUGCAUGACAUUCAGAGAUUGUUCUUAUUUGAACUUUUUGCAUUUGAUUUUGGCUAGUGCUCAAAGCAUGGUGAGGAUUGAAGAGCUGCUUCAAGAGGAUCAGAAUGUAAAGCGCAGGAGAGAGCGCUACCAAAAACAGUCCUCUCUCCUUUCAAAGUUAACACGUCAACUCAGCAUUCAUGAUAACCGUGCAGCUGCAGCUUCCAGUUGGUCUAAUGGUAGUGCAGAAAGCAGCCCCAAGACAAAUGGCCCAUCAGGUGAUGACUGGAGAUAUGCAUUUGAUGCAGCUGCCAAUGGUUCUGUGGACUAUGUUUCAUCUAGAUCAUCCAGAUCUUCAUCUAAUGGUCACAAUCGGCGUUACAAUGACUCAGCACAGAAUGGUGAUCUAAACACCAGUUCAAACUCGAGCGGCCGUCGUACUCCUAAUCGGUUGCCGCCUGCACCCCCACAGUCUGGAUCUUCGGGUUACAGAUAUUAACAGAUGGUUGACAAUUCAUAUUUUCACUGCAUUUUUUAUGGAUGGGAUUCAGUAAAGCCCGUAUCACGAUUUGAUCAUGGGGUCAUUCCAAAUUCUAUUUUAGAAUCUUUCAGAGGAGAGGGUAUUUUGUGUACAUAAGACUACAGUUCCUGUGUCAGGUUUUUACCACUUGCCCUACUUAGAACAAUGGAUUCAAGGUGUUCUUGAAAUCCAUUUCUUAUAUUUUAUAUGCGCUAUAUUCUUUUUCUUCUUCCCCCUCUUUUAAGUUUUUCCUUUUUUCUUUCCUUGCCAAAUUUUUGGACACUAGCUUGUAGAUGAAUUCUACUUGUUCAUUUCUGAUUGAUUUUAUACAACGUUUGGUGCCUUGUAACCUGUAACAUUUGGGAUCAAUCCUCAUGAAGGGAAGUGUUAUUGUAAAACUUCCCAUUUAAACUUGUUUCUGGUUCACUAUGAAUAUCUACCAUCUGAAUUUUAUUCGAGUUGCCAAAUGUAACUAUAAUUGAUUCUAAUUUGAUAUGCUUCAUAUCGAUUAUCUCUAUUAUCUUGAC
Molecule: unclassified non-coding RNA, 4870 nt
Filed under: Hevea brasiliensis (rubber tree)
Lineage: Eukaryota; Viridiplantae; Streptophyta; Magnoliopsida; Malpighiales; Euphorbiaceae
Source: RNAcentral